AACGAACGCUGGCGGCAUGCCUAACACAUGCAAGUCGAACGACACCUUCGGGUCUAGUGGCGCACGGGUGCGUAACGCGUGGGAACCUGCCCUUAGGUUCGGAAUAACUCCCCGACAGGGGUGCUAAUACCGGAUAAUGUCUUCGGACCAAAGAUUUAUCGCCUUUGGAUGGGCCCGCGUUGGAUUAGCUAGUUGGUAGGGUAAAAGCCUACCAAGGCGACGAUCCAUAGCUGGUCUGAGAGGAUGAGCAGCCACACUGGGACUGAGACACGGCCCAGACUCCUACGGGAGGCAGGAGUGGGGAAUAUUGGAAAAUGGGCGAAAGGCUGAAGCAGCAAUGCCGGGUGAGUGAUGAAGGCCUUAGGGUUGUAAAGCUCGUUUAUCCGGGAUGAUAAUGACAGUACCGGGAGAAUAAGCACCGGCUAACUCCGUG
This 433-nucleotide ribosomal RNA is filed under the name uncultured bacterium. Its description in RNAcentral is "partial 16S ribosomal RNA". It matches the Rfam family "Bacterial small subunit ribosomal RNA", at positions 29 to 507 of the family's 1533-position model. The record is from RNAcentral.